This 790-nucleotide long non-coding RNA is filed under the name Linum usitatissimum (flax). RNAcentral's name for it is "long non-coding RNA (LUSI_LNC002849)". Lineage: Eukaryota; Viridiplantae; Streptophyta; Magnoliopsida; Malpighiales; Linaceae. The record is from RNAcentral.
UCGGACGAGCACCGAACCUCAAGGGUAAUGUCGUAAUAUGAGCUCCCACAAAAUUAGGAGAGAGGAAGGUUCGAUUUAGGCGCCACCUCAAAUUCCGUUGGAAAAGGGGGAAAAGUAAGGAGUCCUCCCUCUGCCCCCCUCCAAUAAAUUGCAAAACCUCUCUCUUUUGAUUCGCGUGUUCAUCAAACUAGCAGUAACCGCCACGCAAUUCUCGCACAAACGCAAAGAUUUUACGAGAGAGAGAGAGAGAGAGAGAAAGCUCCGGUCAGAUUCGCCGGAAGAUUUUACACGGUCAGACGAUGAGUAAGUACGUGGAGUUGUUGGACGCCGCGGUCAGAUUCGCCGGGAGAUUUUACACGCACUGCCCUCAAACUGCUCGCCUCUACUACCAUCCUCCUUCAAAUUCCCACCUCGCCGGCGCUGCUGCCUCUAGGCGCGCGCUGCGGCCUCUAGCGCUCAGCCGGCCUGCGACAAAUCGACUCGUGACAGCAAAUCCGCUGCUGCUGCUGGUUUUGCUUUGGAGGCUUCCUUGGGGGGGUUUGAUUCUUCUGCGCAUCAGUUGGUGCGUCUUACUCUUCUCUGAGGCCAAGAUCAAGAAUUCAAGAUUAAUUGACUCCAAGGAAAGAUAAAAAGGAGUCAUAGAUUCAAUUGAUUAGUUUGCUUACAUGUAUAGAACUUGAUUCUUCUAUCAAAAUUGUUCUUCUGGAUUCUUUCAUUGUUGUGAGAAUUUUUUUAAUUCUGUUUGCUUCCAAUGUCUGUUGUUGCUGGUUGCUUUCUGUCCAAGGCAGAC